This 272-nucleotide unclassified non-coding RNA is filed under the name plant metagenome. Its description in RNAcentral is "partial contains small subunit ribosomal RNA, internal transcribed spacer 1, and 5.8S ribosomal RNA". The record is from RNAcentral.
UUUCCGUAGGUGAACCUGCGGAAGGAUCGUUAAUGAGUUGUCAUGGGGUUCGAUGCUGGCAGCCAGUUUUUGGAUGCAUGUGCUUGCCCUAACAAUCAUCUUCUUCCAAACACCUGUGCACAUUUUUGAGGGAGUCUUGAGUUGGUUGCCGCUCUUGGGUGAUUUUCUCACAUUCCCUUAAAUCAUUAUACGCUAUUAACAAUGUUGAACGUGCUCUGUGCCGCAAGGCCAUUAAUAUAAUACAACUUUUAACAACGGAUCUCUUGGCUCUC